This is a long non-coding RNA of Psammomys obesus (fat sand rat), 3817 nucleotides long. RefSeq lists it as uncharacterized. The transcript is spliced from 26 exons. The record is from RefSeq and is a predicted model, not a curated record. NCBI's taxonomy places the organism in Eukaryota, Metazoa, Chordata, Mammalia, Rodentia, Muridae.
CCCACCCCCUUUAAUUCUCCAUCCCAGCUACAUCUGAUUGCUCAUUAUUUGUUACAGAUGAGAGGAUGAUGAGGGCUCAGGAAUUUGCCCAAGAUCGGCUACUAAGCAGAAGCCGUGGCUCCAUCCCAGGGCUGAUGGUUCUCCGAGGAUUUUGUCCUGUUCUCAGCAUCCAGACCUAUUGCCUGGAACUGAACGGGAGGAAGGAUGUCUGUUCCCCUUCGGGACCCACACCCGAGGAAUGCCCGUGUGCACAGCAGGCUGCAGGGUGCUCGAUUGGAGGCCCUAAUGUGAAUGGAGCCUAGCCUGCUCGUAGAGACCUUGGCAGUGACCGCCGUGGGCAAUGAGCCAUGGGCCAACAAUAAGUGAACUAAUCAAAUGAAAGAGACUCUGUGAGCUGAAGAUGGUGGCGUUGUGACUCAAGUCUCAUGAGUGAUCCAGUUACAAAGAGCUACAGCCUACAGAAGUAUCCAGACAAUGAAAUGUAAUUUCAUAUUCAAGAUCUCCUAGGAAGAUUCAAUACCCUGCACCUGGCAGUUCCUGCUCUGUAGGCUAGGAUGAAGAGUCUCGUGUAAGCACAGUGGUUCAUGGUGUGUUGAAUGAUUUGUGCCAUCCAUGAGUUCACCUCAGAUGGAAGAACGACAAUUGCCAACGGACAUAAAAUAAAAGUUCGUGCAUGAUUUCACCAAGGGGGUGCAGCCACUCCAACUGAAUCAUCCUGGAAUGCCAAAGGUCUUGGCUUUUACCUCUGUGGGUAAGGAAAGAAGAAAUUUAUAAUGGUGACAGGCAGCCUUCUUACUCAGCUCUUCCAAGAAACAAAAUCUUGGCUGUUAGUUCUGCAUGUAAGGACAGAGAGAACAAUGACCCCUGAUUUAAUUAUUUAAUUUGGAGCCAUUAUCCUGAGUAAGGAGCAUAGUCGAGAAUAAAGAAUGAGGAUGGCUGGUACGGCUCCAUCAUUGCAUUUUGGGGAAGAUCUUGCCUGUUCACUGCUAGAUAAGGGGAAGACACUGAACACAGAAUGGAGACCAUCGCUGACUGGAUUUCUCUCUGAGAAGAGGCGUUUCCUAUUGCUGUUGUGGCACGCAUCCUCAGAACCAGUCUCCAGUCUGCUUCACACAUGGGGCACUGCCCCUACACUUCUCACCUGUCCUCCUGCUCACCUGAAGACCCAAGAGCCACAAUGGACUCACAAUGCCUGAAUUAGUCAGUGUCCAAUGACACAGGUUCUAAGGAUUUCUGCUGUGGACAUCCAAUGGCUCCUGUCUGAAUUUAAACACAGGCCCAUGCUCAUAUACUCUAUACCUACCUUCUAUGUUCACAUGAAGCCACAAGACCUGUGUGAGUAAUAUUCCAAAUUAUUGCUUUGGUCAUUUCCAUGCUCUAUGUUACUAUAGAGUAUAAAAUGUAUCCAGCCAAGGAUACCAGUCACUGUGUAGGACAAAAUGAAAUCAUUAUUUCCCAUUUGAACUGUUAAUGAAUGUAUGUAUUCAUCAACAUGCAUUUUGUUACUGGAGAAGAGGAAGUGUAAAAUGGGCCGAUGAUGACAGGGGUUUCGGGGUUAUAAGUCACUGACGAUGACUACAUCACUGGAGGUCUGAGGUCCAUAGCGUAAGAUGUCUCAAAAACCCCUCACAUGGUGCGCUUAAAUGUUGGGCACGUGCAAUAUAUAUUAGGGAUUAGAGUCACAAACUCUCAUCAUUUUAUAGUUGACCAUUGAAUCAUGACAUAAAUAAACACCCAAAUGCAGAUAAGUUAUUUAGGGCAUUGAGCAAUUAUGAAAACAAAUAUUUGACCACAUAUUAAGAUACAGCAAAAAUCUAUUUAGAGUGAAUUAGCUUAAAAUCACCUUUAUCCGAGGUGAUCUAUACAGUAAAAUUAAUGGCUUAAGUCUUUGUGAUGGUCAAAGCCUUGAUUUUAAACACUACUUUAUUUCGUAAGAAAACUAUUACAACAAUUUGAAUCUUAAACAACGAAAGGAAAAAUGUCACAAUAAUUGGACACAUUCUUUAUUAUCUUUGCUGCUUUGUACUCCCUGGAUGGAUGCUGAUUAACACAUCAUUUCCUGGAUGAGAGGUCCAUGGCUGCGCUAUCUCUCUGUGUAAGGAGUUCAGCAACUAAUAAUGGAUACCCCCAAGCUGAUGGACACAUUCCUCCUUAGUCCUGAGGUUUGAGAGACACUGUUUGUGUAUGCAGGAUAGAGACUGUAAAAGAUGCCCCGCAAGCUGAUUUCGUACAGUCUCACUUGGAAAUGAACCUCGCGAUCUAGCCUUUGUGUUUGUAGGAUAGAUAUUGUAAUGGAUCCCCCCCAAGUUGAUUUACAUGUCCUGUCUUCAUUAUAAGCUUCAUGAUCAGUUCCUUGGAUUCAUAAUAUAGACACUCUAAUGGAUAACCCCAAGCUGACCUAUGCAUUCUCCCUUGAUCUGAGCUUCACAGUCUGCUCGCUGUGUUUGUAGAAUUGAUUCCAUAUAAUUAAUGGUGUGCAAUAAAAAGGACACUAAUCAUGGCAAAAAAAAAAAAAUCCUUGGAAAUCUUCAGUGUAUUCAAGGAUCUUCUCCUUGGAUCUUUAGUGGAUAGCCUUCACCUGCUGUGUGUAUUCUUCCUUGGCUGUGAGAGUCCUAAGAUAGACACAGUUGUGUGUAGUCAGUGUUCAUUCCAUGGUUUUGGUUACUUUGAAUGACUAUACACAACUCUUGUUGAAAUGCUACUCGUCCUCUGGAAGACCCACCUUGCUCAAAUGAAUGGACCCCCUCCCCCAGGCUGAUUUUCACACUGGCUUUGGUUGUGAUCUUCUUGAUCAGCUGCUUGUGUUUGUAGUGUAGACACAGUGAUGGAUACCCCCAUGUGAUUUGCACAUUCUCCAUUGGUCCUGUGCUUUGUGAUCAGCACUUGGGUUCAUAGUAUGUAGAUACAGUAGUGGAUAUUCCCAAGCUUGUUUCCCACAUUCUCACCAUGAGCUUUGUGAUCCAAUGUUUGUACUCAUAGGAACACAGAAAUGAAAAACUCCAAGACGAAUUCCACAAUCUCCAUUGUUCCUGAGUUCACAAUGUAAUGGAGACACAGUGAAGGCCAACUCCAGAUCAUGGAUGGAUCCUGACUCAUCCUCAGCUCUAAGGCUGCCUGUGUUGUUAAGGUCACAGCUACACCUGGCUCAGGGAACUCUAUGGAAGAGGAGGUGGAAAGAUUGUAAGAGCCAAUGGAAAUGGAAGACACCAAAGAGACAAGGCCUUCUAGCCACAACAGGACUGGUGCAGAAAUCAAGUCAUAGAGACUGUGGCAACAUGCACAGGCCGUGCACAGCUCUAAGCCAGAUGGGGUCCUGGCACUGUGAGGGGAAGUGGACACAACCCCCUAUCUAUAACCCAGAAACUACCUUCACUUGAUAAACUCUCUCAAAGCAAAGACUAGUUUUUUCCAAUGGAGUACCACCGGACAUAUAAACCAGGACAUAUAAAGCACGCUCCAUGGUCCCGAUGGCCAGCACAAAAUGAACUCAAUGGCAUUUUUGGAGAUUUUCGAGACUCACAAUGCUUUGAGUAUUUUUUUUUACCCUACUGAUAUUUUGCUCAUAUAUUAUGGUUUCUGAUGGCUUUUUCUCUGUAUGUGACUCAGCUUAUGGAUGUGUUCCUUGUGAUUUUUCCUUUGGCUCUAUUUCUUAUUUUGCUUUGUUUGCUUUGAUUUCUCUUCAUUAUUUGAGAUGUUUUUAUUCUAAUGUAAGAAUGAAAGAGUAGGUGUGGUGGGUGGAGAAAUGGGUAGAAUGUCAAAGGCUAAAUUGUAAUACAAUUAGUUUGUACAGAAUUUUAAUAAAAAUGGGUUUCCUCUA